CGGCAACAGCUCAAAUUUGAAAUCUGGCCUCUCGGGGUCCGAGUUGUAAUUUGUAGAGGAUGUUUUGGGUACCGCCCCGGUCUAAAUUUCUUGGAACAGGACAUCGCAGAGGGUGAGAAUCCCGUACGUGGGCGCCUGCCUUUGCCGUGUAAAGCUCCUUCGAC
This 164-nucleotide ribosomal RNA is filed under the name Coniothyriaceae sp. Its description in RNAcentral is "partial large subunit ribosomal RNA". Lineage: Eukaryota; Fungi; Ascomycota; Dothideomycetes; Pleosporales; Coniothyriaceae. The record is from RNAcentral.